This is a non-coding RNA of Naganishia vaughanmartiniae, 112 nucleotides long. The record is from the annotation of a GenBank genome assembly. Lineage: Eukaryota; Fungi; Basidiomycota; Tremellomycetes; Filobasidiales; Filobasidiaceae.
UUCUCACUAGCACAGUGGUAGUUGCGUCGAGCUGUUAUUCAAGGGUUCCCACGUUGGUGUGGAACCUAUGACCGCUACUCGAAGGUCGUUGGUUCGACCCCAACGUGGGAAG